CUGCGACCCGCGCUACGACGAGUCUGACUUUGAGGACGCCGGCAUCAAGCAC
This 52-nucleotide non-coding RNA is filed under the name Cryptomonas paramaecium. The record is from RNAcentral. Lineage: Eukaryota; Cryptophyceae; Cryptomonadales; Cryptomonadaceae.